Molecule: long non-coding RNA, 262 nt
Filed under: Medicago truncatula (barrel medic)
Lineage: Eukaryota; Viridiplantae; Streptophyta; Magnoliopsida; Fabales; Fabaceae
Description: lncRNA gene48065
Source: RNAcentral
GCCGGUGCCGGCACUGGCACCGCCCCAGUUUCACUCCCAAUCAAAAACAGCUGAAGAGCUUCCUCAAGUUUCCAACUUCAAACCUGAAGGAAUUGUCUAGCGGUGGCAGCGGUUUGACCUUGAGCAACUUCGAGAAAUGAAGUGACCAAUGUUUGUUGAUCCGUGGGAGAUACCAUACCUUCCAUUGAAUUUUCAAUUGAUCUUUCUACCUUCCUACCAGAUUAGUUUUGUUUUGCCACUUCACCGUUUCAAGCUAUUUUAA